GGAGAGACAGUCAGCCAUUACUGUUUAAAUCAACUCACAACCUCUUUUGGCUUUAGGUUUGAAUUAAUUAAUCCGUUAAUUUGUCAAUUUUAAUGUCAUUUUAUUAGUUAUAAAUGUAAAAUUCAUCAACAGUUUGGUUAUUUGAUGAAAUAAAUACAUCUCUUUUGGCAUAUCAUUGGAAAGCCUCGGGAAAUAAUGUUUAACUAAACAACAUGACUUCACCCGGGAUAUCAAAAUGCAACUCAAUUUACCCUGAAUCAUUUCCAAAUUGAACCUAAUUCAACUAUGUAAUGCCUUAAGCGACAGUCAACAAGCAUCACAAUUGCCGAAAAUAUGAAGGAGAAAAAAAACGACAACAAUUGGCUACAUUACCACCUAUCAAUAGACUGUGAAAGUAAAUUAUACAAAUUGUACAAAUUACAUCUAAAAUUUUGUCAACUUAAAUCAACUAACAUUAGAAGUUUUCCAUGGAAUCCAGACUGGGAUUGUGUUGCAUGAUAUCAAGAGUUUUACCAUAUUGUGAUAUGAUAAUGGAAAGCAUACCAAUAUAUAUUUCCAUGCAUGCGGAUGCCAGAAUUGUCUCUGGGAGGGAAAACUGUGAAUUGGAUAAGUUUAGG
Molecule: non-coding RNA, 617 nt
Organism: Tetranychus urticae (two-spotted spider mite)
Lineage: Eukaryota; Metazoa; Arthropoda; Arachnida; Trombidiformes; Tetranychidae
Source: RefSeq, a predicted model, not a curated record